UGGGGAAUAUUGGACAAUGGAGGAAACUCUGAUCCAGCAAUUCUGUGUGUGUGAAGAAGGUUUUAGGACUGUAAAACACUUUUAGUAGGGAAGAAAAAAAUGACGGUACCUACAGAAGAAGCAACGGCUAAAUACGUGCCAGCAGCCGCGGUAAUACGUAUGUUGCGAGCGUUAUCCGGAAUUAUUGGGCUUAAAGGGCAUCUAGGCGGUAAGACAAGUUGAAGGUGAAAACCUGUGGCUCAACCAUAGGCUUGCCUACAAAACUGUUGAACUAGAGUACUGGAAAGGUGGGUGGAACUACACGAGUAGAGGUGAAAUUCGUAGAUAUGUGUAGGAAUGCCGAUGAUGAAGAUAACUCACUGGACAGAAACUGACGCUGAAGUGCGAAAGCUAGGGGAGCAAACGGG
This 407-nucleotide ribosomal RNA is filed under the name Verrucomicrobiota bacterium. Its description in RNAcentral is "Verrucomicrobia bacterium partial 16S ribosomal RNA". It matches the Rfam family "Bacterial small subunit ribosomal RNA", at positions 355 to 776 of the family's 1533-position model. Lineage: Bacteria; Pseudomonadati; Verrucomicrobiota. The record is from RNAcentral.